GAUGAACGCUGGCUACAGGCUUAACACAUGCAAGUCGAGGGGAAACGACGGGGAAGCUUGCUUCCCCGGGCGUCGACCGGCGCACGGGUGAGUAACGCGUAUCCAACCUGCCUCUGACUGAGGGAUAACCCGUCGAAAGUCGGCCUAAUACCUCAUGGCAUCGUCUGCGGGCAUCCAACGACGAUUAAAGAUUUCAUCGGUCAGAGAUGGGGAUGCGUCUGAUUAGCUUGUUGGCGGGGUAACGGCCCACCAAGGCGACGAUCAGUAGGGGUUCUGAGAGGAAGGCCCCCCACAUUGGAACUGAGACACGGUCCAAACUCCUACGGGAGGCAGCAGUGAGGAAUAUUAGUCAAUGGGCGAGAGCCUGAACCAGCCAAGUAGCGUGCAGGAUGACGGCCCUAUGGGUUGUAAACUGCUUUUAUGCGGGGAUAAAGUGAGGGACGUGUCCUUCAUUGCAGGUACCGCAUGAAUAAGGACCGGCUAAUUCCGUG
RNAcentral lists this ribosomal RNA (491 nucleotides) under uncultured bacterium. RNAcentral's name for it is "partial 16S ribosomal RNA". It matches the Rfam family "Bacterial small subunit ribosomal RNA", at positions 28 to 507 of the family's 1533-position model. The record is from RNAcentral.